This 5615-nucleotide long non-coding RNA is filed under the name Mytilus galloprovincialis (Mediterranean mussel). The record is from RNAcentral. Lineage: Eukaryota; Metazoa; Mollusca; Bivalvia; Mytilida; Mytilidae.
AUAACUUUUGAUGAAAGCAGAUUAUGACUUCAAUGAUAGAAUAUUUUAAAAUGGGUCGAUUUAGGAAGAUUGUGUUUUUAAUUACAAUUAUAGCAUUUGUUGGAAUUUUUCUUUUAUUUCAAACUGGAAAUAAACAAAACACACGUAAAACCAAUGUAGAGUCUAUGUUUGUUGAAGAAAAUUUUGAUGAAAACGACUUGACUGAAGAAGAAAAAAAGCACAGGAACAUGUUGAAAACAGGAAAAUUGAAUAUACCAGAACUUGGACUAAAUUUUAUAGAAAACAUGGAACACAAUAAAAAGGUGAUUGAAACGAGGGAUGUUCACUCUGCAUCAUCUGCCUUAUUAUAUAUAAGGCAUUUGUUUCCUGUGAAAGGGGAGGAUGUCACAAAACCUUUAGAAUACUUUAUGAUAUGUGUUGACAACAGAUUUGAAUAUAUCAGGGGGUCCCUGAUUCCUUCUUUCAUGCUCCCGCAUCCCACUCCUUAAACUCCCAGACCAAAAUUGAUAAAAAAAUAAUUACCAAGAAUUUGUCCAACAAAUACAUUUUGACUUUUAAAAUUGGGAGUACAAUUUAUAAAAGUUUAAAUGCAAAGCAAAAGCACACAUAUUUGAAUUUUAAUCUUGAAUACCCUUAAAUUACUCUCUGGUCUUAACCAUCAAUUUAUUUAAGUUCUACAUGCCCUAUCAUCCCUUAUGACCAGACCCACUUUAAUUUGGUGUCUGCAAGUAAAAUUUUCCUAAUAAGAGGCAUAAUAAGCCAUGAAAAUUUUAUAUAAUUUUACGAACAACUGUUUUUAUGGGCUUGUACAUUUUUUUUUGAAUCAGUUAAGAUUUGGUGAAGUAUGAGUACAGUGCACGUGGAGUCCCAGGUGUCCGUGCAGCCAGUAAUACCGCGCAUUAGCUGAUUUCGUCAUAUCAACGCAGUAACACGAAAAAAAUGGUUCUUGUUAUUUAUUUAGCUUUCUGAUGGGAUAAAAAAAAGAUUAAAAUUGAUAAGUUCAAGAGUGUCUGUUAAAUAAUAACUGAAAUCCCAUGAUUUUCAAUAUUUGGUCAAUUUCCAUUAAAAAAUUACUUCAUUAGAUAAAAUUUGUUUUAUUUAAGUCAAAUUGAUAUCAGAUUGAAAUAAUAUUUGCUCUGCAUCCUUGGCAGUGUGCUUAGUUCAAAUUCAGCUAUAUUUAGUAUUAUAAAAUCAUUCCUUUAAUCAAAAUUAAAUGUAGCUAUUUUUGGAAGGCAUGCACGAAAUUGCCAGACAUUGGUGAAACUCUCAGAACAGGGGUUUCCCUAAUUUUGGACACAUAUUACACAUAAUUUUGAGGGUGAAACCAUACAAACAGAAGAUUUAAUGAAAUAAAAGUAUGUUAUGAAUGUACAUGUAUUCACACAAUAUUAUCCAAUUAUUGGUUUUACCAGUUGAAUGAAGUGAAGGUGUGCAGAUACAUGUACACCGGACUGCACCAUAACUAAAUUUUUAUAAAUGUAUAUUUAUAAAAACCUCAAAGAUAGAUAUUGAUGCUGACAUACAUUUUGUACAUGUAUAUAAGUACAUCAGUAUGAUAGACAUUUUGUACAUGUUAUCAUCAUUUAAUUCAUUUUUCAUUAAAAGGUCAUGUACAAGUCAGUGCAAAUUUCACAUUCACAAUUUAUAAUUUGUGAAGAGCUGCAACUCAGAUUUUUAUACAUGAUCAUUGAAUUUCAUGUCUUUUUUUAUGUUUCAGAAAGCUACCACAACACCUAAACCACCAUUUAAGCCAGAAUUAAUGUUGAUGAAAAAUCCUCCAAUAUUUCUCACAAAGAAUAUGUCAGAUGGCAUGGUAGAAGAGAAUUUUUUUAAGUAAGAAAUACAUGUCUAAUAAUAUUGGAAUAAGAUUUGCUUCUACAAUAAGAAUAUUGACUGUAAAUUUGAAGCAUUGACCAAGACUAUAAGUUUAUUAGCAGUUGCUUAAUUCAAAUUUGACUUCUUUGCAAACAAAAUUUAGCCAAUCCAAAUGUUUAAAGAACACAUCAAGUAAAUCAGUCAUGUUUUCAGUAUUAUUAUAAAGAACACAUACUUUUCAAGUUUAGUGACAGAUUUUUGCCAAAAAAAUGUUUUGAAGUUCAAAGACUUUAAAGGAAUAGUUUUAAAAGAUGUAGACUACAUGUUAUAUGUUGUUUUUGUUACAGUUACUUAGAAACAAAAGAUGUAAUAUGUAAAAAUGAUGAGAGGGUAGGGUUUCAACAUGAUGGUGGAUGGAAUGUUUGUAUGUCUCCUCCAUUUGGAUUUCAUGAACCAUGUAUUGUUUACUCAUUUGGGUAAUUAUUAUUUAUACAAUGUAUCAUGUUAACAUCAUAAUAUAUUUCUUAUUCAUCUUAUUUUAACUUUUAAUUUAGGUAAUUUAAAACUAUGAAUUUAAGAUAAAUUUUAACGAUUUAAGUGGCAAAAUGUUUGUAUUAUAGGAUUAAAUAACAAUAGAUGUGGUUUAACAAGAAGACAAACAUUUUCCACUGGGAGGAGGGGGGGAUACAUGUUACUGCAUGUAUUAACCAAACAAAUCACUAUAAUUAUGAUGUAGAAACUUAGUCUAUUUGAGAACAGGGUUCUCGCUAAGGAUUUUUAAGGUGAGUCCAGGGACUCAUCAUUUUUGGCCAUGGUGAGUCCAACAGCAAGAAAUAGAUAUUUUAUUGCAAUAUUAUGUAAUACUUUAGUCUCCAUGGCCUAACAGAGCAAUGAAAUGACAUCAAAUUAAGAUUGCUUUUAAACUUUUGCUAUAAAAUGAUGAUAUUUAUGUUUAACUGUGUUUAGUUUAUACAAAAUAUUUCAAGCUUAAUGCAUCUGUGGACUCACCAGUUUUGAAAAUGGUGAGUUCAGACAGAUUUUGAUGAGUCCAGGACUCAUGGACUCACCUUAGCGAGAACCCUGGAGAAAAUAAGAAGUAACCACAAAUGCAGUGGAAAAUAGACGCCCAGAAAUACAAGGAAAGCCAACACAUUGAUAAAGGCCAACAGAACUAAACAAGGGAAAUGAAAUAUCAAGUAACACAAAUCCUACUAAAAAACAGAAAUGAAGGCAGAUACACUGAUAAUAAACAGUUCCCACUGCUCUGGUGGCAUACACCAUGGCAUAUUUUAACACUGUAUCUUGAAAAGUCAUUCAGUCAGGAUUUUUCUUGGAAUAUUAUUGAAUGAUUAUUCUUUAAAUAUAUCUACAUUUGUAAAGAAUACACAUAAAAUUCUGAAAUAAACAAUAUCUACUAUUAUAAAUGACAAAUGUCUCCCUUUGUGAGAUUAAAAAAAUUAAAGAAUCUUCCAUAUUACAAAUGUAUUAAUUAAAGUUUAAUAUUAUAUAUUUAUAGAAUAGGUAAUGAUUGGAGAUUUGACAGAGUAUCGGCCAGAAUAUAUAAUUGUACAGUGUAUUCAUUUGAUCCUAGGUAAGAAAACUAUAGGUACUGUAAAUUCAGAAAUUAUUGUGAGGUUUUUAUUAUUGCGAAAAAUGCGACAGAGUUGUAAAGGCAAUAAUUUGAACUCGCAUUUUGAAAUAUUUCAUAUGAAUUAAACAGAAUUUUUUCUAAAAAUUGAAAAUUUUAAAUUGCAUUUAAGUCUAAAAAGACAAAAUCGCAAUAAAUGCACACAAUAAUUUGUAAAUUUACAGUACUUGAUUUUUCCAGAUUAUUCUAGAAUAUAGACAAGUAUAUAUAUAUAUAUAUAGCUUACUUGUUUCAAGUAUACAUUUUAAAAUUCUGUAAAGUUCAUAAACUAUCUGUAUCCAACCAUGAAAGUUUUGUAUUAGUUUAAACAUAUUUUCAUGAUUUUAUUUGCUGAAUUAAAGCAAAACGGAUAAGACACGAGUAAAUCAUACUUAUAAAGUCUCCUCCAUAAGUUUUGUAUUUGACUUGCAUAAUGAUUAAAAUUAAGAAAUAAAUUAUUCAUAGGGGCUUGAAUACUGCUUUAACCACAGGUUGGCCCUAAUGCUAAAUAUUUUAUUACAAGCGACAGACCUCUACAGUAACAUAGAAAUCUUUGCUUCCUUAUUUUUCCAUAGACCAACAUUUUAGAAACACACCCUUUUGUCAUAUCUACAAGGAUUGCUCAUUUGUUACUUCCGAGAUGAAUGUUGAAUGAACAUUAGAAAAAAGUUGCAUUUUCUCUCUGAUUCUCAAGAUCUUACUUUGCAUAAAAGAGAUUAUAAAAAUAUAUUGUAUUACAGCUAUUUUUUUGAUGCAUGUAGUUUAAAGGAUAGGUUGGCUUCAGGGUUGGCAAAGUAUUACCCAGUUUUAGGUUUGAAAUAGAUUACAGCUAUUUUCCUUAUGCAUGUAGUUUAAGGUUGGCUUGCUUGUUUUGGUUGUAUGACUGUUUGCACAAGCAUUGUAAUUAAGUUGUACAAUUGCAAUCAAUAUUUAUGGGUAGGCUUUGGCUUGUAUAAUACUUUUUGAUGCUUGAGCCAACAUUUAUACAAAAAAGGCAAGCAAGCCAACUAAAUCUUUAAACCACACACAUUAGGAAAAUAGCUGUAUUGUUAUUAUGAUAGAACAACUGGUUUUAGUUCUGACUUGUAAAAUAACUUGAUUACAAAUAUGUUUGCAGUAUACCAAUACCUACUGAGAAAUUACAUCCUAGAAUACACUUUGCACAAGUUGGUAUUGCAGGGAGAAAUGGUAAAGGAUUAAAAACAUUUUCAACUAUACUGAGAGAACAUGGUCAUUCUGACGUAAGUAACUAAACUAUUUAUAGAUUAUUUGUAAACUUUGAACUUUUUUUUUUUCUUUUUAUCUUCCAAACUUUUAUAUGUAUGUUAUUAUACUUUUAAAAGUCCUUAUAAUCACACAAUUUUGCUUACAUGAUAAAAACUAAAGAGUUCUUUUUACUAUUGGCAUAGAUUAAUCAACGAUAGACUUUAAAUAGUAAAAAUCAUCCACAAGGCAAAAUAUCUAAACCGUUAAUCAAAUCUGUUUAGGAGUUACAGCCCUUGAAUGAAAUUGUUAACACAUUUUACUUACUUACAUUUAUUUAUAUAUGGUGAACCAACACCUAAAGUCAACCACAUGAACUGCCAAAUUUGUACUUCACUGUUUGAAUUCAUAUGUAAUAUUGUCAUGAAGACCCAACACUUGAUAGUGAAACAUGUCGACCAGAAUAAAAACUUACCUUGCUUUAAUAAAGACAACAACAUCGAUCAAUUACCAUGCAGUAAUUCGGUAAUUUAUGGGUGUUGUUGUCUUUGUUAUCAUUUUAUUUUCAUUUAGAAUAAUUAACAUAUCUAACUUGAAUACAUUUAAUGUUUGUUUUGUAGACCGUGAUUGACUACCUGAAGUUUGACAUUGAAUACAUGGAAUGGGCUGUACUAGAAAAUCUACUGAGGGAGAAGUCAUUUAAGAAUGUAAAACAGAUUGGUUUUGAAAUUCAUACAAAUGAAUUUUAUCAACAUUUUAAGAAGCUCAAAGAUGUAAAAUUCAAUUCAGGAAAAGACGAUUUUCUUUAUAUGUACCAUACAAUUAGAAAGUUAGAAGAUUAUAAUUUCAGACAAUUUAAUUAUCGAUUAAAUCCUUUUGGAGAAUAUGGUUCUCCUAUCACUAGGAAGAAAAGGUCUUGUUGUUAUGAAUUACAUUUUUUGAACAUGAAUUUUGUGACACCAAAUUACAC